AUAUAUGUAAUUCAAUUAUCCAUAAAAAAUAAAUCACUAAAAACAACAAAUCAUUUAGAAAAUUGUUUGUUCCAAAUCCACCAAACGACUUGUUUUCUUGAUUGAGUUCUGCAACAAUGCCCAUCAGAUCCACUUCUUUUUCAUAAUGUUUUUUCUCCUCUUCUUCAAUUUAUUUCUUCUCAUUUUCCUUCUCUUCUUCUUCUAAUGAUUUCUUAUCUGCUUUAAUGUUUUCAAACUCCUGUUCAACCACUAAUUCAUCAUCAACUUCCUUCUCAUUUUUGUCUUCUUCUUCUUAUGAAUUCUUUUAAUUGCUCUAUGAACUCUUCUCAGCAUUUAUGAUCUACAACAAAAAAUAUAUUUGUACUGGUCGAUUUAUCGACCACUGGUCUAUUAAUAAAAAUAAAAAUAUGCAGCAAAAACAAAUCUGUAGUGGUCGAUCUAUCGACCAUUGGUCUAUUAAGAAAAACGGGAAAACGCCUCGCAUCAAACAUAUAAAUCAAGUUCCAAAUUCACUAGAUAUUGGCAGUGCAAUUCACAACAACAAGAACACUAUUAAAAUGUGUCCAAUUCAAUACAAAAAAUUUAAAAUCAAUACGCAAUAUAAGUACAAAAAUUUAAAAAUUUUCUACUUAUUAUCCAAAGCAAAACACAAUUAAACAUGUAGAAUCGAUAAUAUUAACUAAAAACACUCAAAUUUAAACUAAUUCAAUGAAGAACAGUGCAAUUUUUGUCAAAAUUGAAGAACCCUAACACAAAACGUCAUCGAAAAAAAUUACUAAAAUGGAUCUAAAACUGAUUGGGGAAGAAAAUUAAACUUACCUGAGCAAGAGAAACUGAAAAAUUUUCCCUGAGGAAGCAAGAAUCGUGCAAAAUUUAUUUUUCCAAAAAAUAUAAACUAAAAUCGGGAGAAGUAAGGUUUUGAGGAGAGAGAAAUGUAGUUGAAAAUAUUAAAUAAUUUUAUAGAAAAUUAAUAAAUAUAAAAGGAGGACAGUGUUGUAUUUAUUAAAAAGUAUAUUUUUCCCCAAGUUUUAAAAAUGUUAAAGAAGCUCAUGACCCCACAAUCCUAGUCCACUUUUUACCUUUUUCAUACCCUAAUCCUAAAAAAUAAAUCAAAAAGAAAUUUGGUUUGGUGUCUAACCCUCAAAAUAAAUUUUGAAAGUGGGUAGUUAUCAAAAUUGUCUCCAGUAAAUUGAAACUAGUUGUAUUGAUUUAUGCUAAAUCAGUAAUUAUGGGUAUUGUGUGUUCAUAACACACCAAGUUCCACGCAUGAAAAUCAAGUCAUCUGAAAGUACGAUGAAAUCAUGCUAAGUAUCCAUUUAAAAAGUAUUAGGUCAUGUAAGAUGCCAAUGUUACGAAACAUACAUAAUGGUGCUAUAGGAAUCAUGAGGGAAUUGAACUAAUAGGGAAAUCAUAAACUGAAUGAAAUUCCUAACUUUAACUUGUGAGAAAACUGAGAAAUUUUUAGUUACUUGGGAGUCAAUAGAUGAAAGAUAUCCAUUGAUGAAAUACCUCAUACGUGAAAGUGAAUUCUUGCUAAGGGAUUAAGAUAUUUUGAACUUGUGGAGGGACCCUUGUUUCUUCCUUUGAGAGAGUUCAAGUGCCUUUUUCUUUUUUCUGAAAUGGUUUGGGGAAGUGAAUAAGGUAUUAUAUGCUAAGAACCCUUUAAUUUUUCCCUAAAAG
RNAcentral lists this long non-coding RNA (1680 nucleotides) under Capsicum annuum. RNAcentral's name for it is "long non-coding RNA (CANN_LNC019595)". Lineage: Eukaryota; Viridiplantae; Streptophyta; Magnoliopsida; Solanales; Solanaceae. The record is from RNAcentral.